UGAUUAUCUCCAAUUUGUCCUGUCUAGAGCUUCUUUUUUGUUUUAAACCUUUACCUUCCUGGGAUCCAGUGAAUGACCUUGGUGUCUUCCAUGUUUGACCAAGCUCCACGGCACCUGCUUCUGCUGCCUUCAUGAUCACUGGAACAAAUUGUGCCUGCAGAAGCAGGAAGAAGUUUUCACGUGCUUGGUGUAGACAUCCCCCUAACUUGCCCAUAAAGUUCUUCCUCUGGAUGUGGAUAGUGUUCUUUCUCUUCAGUCCCUCAGGAUUCAACAACUCCUCUCUAAAGCAGGAUAAUAACAACAUUUACCUCCUAGGUUUGCUGACAUCUCAUCCGGCUGGCACCGGGUGCCCCGAGAG
RNAcentral lists this long non-coding RNA (358 nucleotides) under Monodelphis domestica (gray short-tailed opossum). RNAcentral's name for it is "lncRNA (ENSMODG00000049368.1)". Lineage: Eukaryota; Metazoa; Chordata; Mammalia; Didelphimorphia; Didelphidae. The record is from RNAcentral.